CGCCCGGUCGUGCCACCGGUGGACUGCCUCAUGGCCGGAGAGCCGUGAUGACGCCGGACAUGACAUUGUUUACUUGAACUGCAUGCGCGCCACGAUCGCCGUACGUGAUAGUGCCGACCCCGUUUGUAGCUUACACGGAUUGUACGAUAUAGAUGAAUGUAUGUAAAUGUAAAUGUUAGUAUUAGCAG
This 188-nucleotide small RNA is filed under the name Oryza sativa Japonica Group (Japanese rice). RNAcentral describes it as "sRNA Os06g0481400". The record is from RNAcentral. Lineage: Eukaryota; Viridiplantae; Streptophyta; Magnoliopsida; Poales; Poaceae.